ACGGAAGGCAGCAGUGGGGAAUAUUGCACAAUGGGGGAAACCCUGAUGCAGCGACGCCGCGUGAGUGAAGAAGUAUUUCGGUUUGUAAAGCUCUAUCAGCAGGAAAGAAAAUGACGGUACCUGACUAAGAAGCCCCGGCUAACUACGUGCCAGCAGCCGCGGUAAUACGUAGGGGGCAAGCGUUAUCCGGAUUUACUGGGUGUAAAGGGAGCGUAGACGGCUUUGCAAGUCUGAAGUGAAAGCCCGGGGCUCAACCCCGGAACUGCUUUGGAAACUGUAGAGCUAGAGUGCAGGAGAGGUAAGUGGAAUUCCUAGUGUAGCGGUGAAAUGCGUAGAUAUUAGGAGGAACACCAGUGGCGAAGGCGGCUUACUGGACUGUAACUGACGUUGAGGCUCGAAGGCGUGGGGAGCAAACAGGAUUAGAUACCCUGGUA
RNAcentral lists this ribosomal RNA (434 nucleotides) under uncultured Lachnospiraceae bacterium. RNAcentral's name for it is "partial 16S ribosomal RNA". It matches the Rfam family "Bacterial small subunit ribosomal RNA", at positions 341 to 792 of the family's 1533-position model. Lineage: Bacteria; Bacillati; Bacillota; Clostridia; Lachnospirales; Lachnospiraceae. The record is from RNAcentral.